This is a long non-coding RNA of Alligator mississippiensis (American alligator), 9075 nucleotides long. RefSeq lists it as uncharacterized. The transcript has 4 exons. Lineage: Eukaryota; Metazoa; Chordata; Crocodylia; Alligatoridae. The record is from RefSeq and is a predicted model, not a curated record.
CCCCAUUGGCCCGGCCCUGCGCCCCCGAGCGCGGUGUCCUCCCGCGUUCCAAGCUCCAGCCCCAUUGGCCCGGCCCUGCGCCCCCGAGCGCGGUGUCCUCCCGCGUUCCAAGCUCCAGCCCCAUUGGCCCGGCCCUGCGCCCCCGAGCGCGGUGUCCUCCCGCGUUCCAAGCUCCAGCCCCAUUGGCCCGGCCCUGCGCCCCCGAGCGCGGUGUGUCCUGCGGCGUUCCGAGCGCCCCAGGGGUGCGCGCCCCCGCUCGGGCCCAGCCGUGUGACUCUCCUGGACAGGGGCUAGUCACAAGCCCGCUAGAAAUGGACCGAGCGGCUGCACGCACCCGCACGGAGAGAAAUCAAAACCAAGCAGCAGUGUUUCCUGGACCGUUAAUGCGUAGCUCAGGCGCAGCCUUCGUUUAGGGACUGAACCCGUCUAGCUGGAAAAAAAAAAAAAUCUACUUGUUACUAUUAUUUUUAAGGGCCUCGGCACAGGUUACCUUAAAACCAUCCUAAAGGCACUUAAAAUGAGAGCAGUUAGCGAUUAAAGGGUGUUAAACUGCCUUAAAAACCUUCUAAGGGGAUCUCAGCCUUUUCUGUACCAGAAGCCCUUUGUAAACAUCUGUAGCCAGUCUCACGCCAGUGCCUUUCAGUACCCACAGGCAGGCCCCAGCCCCGGGGGUGGGGGGCAAGCAUCCCAGCAAGGGCUGCAACUCUGUUUUCAAAUUUGCUAUCCGCGUUUAAAUGUUAUCCAUGUGUUCAGGUUGAUUUGGGACCCUUUCGUAUAGUCUUACAACCUACUUUUGGGUGGUAACCUAUGGGUUGAGAAAUGCUGCUCUAACCAUUUCAAAGUUAUGCCACUCCAGCUGAACAAUCUCUCUCUAUAAUCCUAUACUAAUGGCUUGGUCGUGCUUUGCUUGUAGGUCGUGGAGGAACCCAAGAUGAACUUGCUAGAUCAGUCCGUCAUCAAGAAAGGUAUGUGCUGGGCUUGGCGCAGGAGCGCACCAAGUUUAAAGUGCUGCUUGCUUCUUUUUUUUUUUUUUUUUUUUUGCACGUGUUAAACCUUAAAGUUGGUGCCAACAACCUUGUCAGCGAUCUUUGGACCCACAGAUAAAGCAGUCAUGGAAGAUAAUCAUCUCCAACUACGAGGGAUUGCCAAAGAUUAACUUAUAUUUGUGGUUUCUAUUUCAGUCACCUUCUGACCUACCCCAACCUUGGCUUUUGACCCGAUUCUAAGACCAGCAUUACCAUACAGAACCAGCAAAAUAGAGAAGCCAGCCUUAUCAAACUGCCCAGACUUAGAAACGCUGGCAAGACAGGAAAUUUGACCAGAUCACCAAGAUAAUGUCUCAAGCUGCGGAAGUGACCUGGGAUCCAGAGCAAGAGCCACUAUGGCAUACAUGUCAAGCAAGAGCAUACAGCUUUGACUUACCAGCUACCUUGCACCUUAAGACCAUCAACAUUUCUACCACCUUUACUAUGUAAUCUCUUUUUCCCAUCUAUCUCCUCUCUCAAAAACAAGAAAAGUAAGUGUUGUUCAUAACAAGAAAAUGCAACAUCCCAUGACAGAACUAACCUAUGUUCCUUACUCAGAAAGACGGUGGAUAAGCCUGCUUGUAUCUUCUCCCUGAAAAAAAGAACUGGUAAGUUUUGAUUAAGUCUAUUCUGCAAAAACUCUCAAAUGUCAAUUUAAAAAGUCUUGUAUUGAUGUGUGUUUGAAUCUUAAUCAGUACAUUUUCACAAUUUGGCAUGAAUUUGCUAUUGUGUCCAUCAAAGGGCCGUUUUUGCAUUUGCCCAUACCUGUAUAAUGUUAAUCAAACAAAAUUUGGGUUUGAGUACAGAGACCUCGACCUAUCUCAAUCUGUUCAUUCCACUGAAAUUAGCAAAACAGCUUCCAAGAGAAGAUGAGUAAAUAGAUCAAUCUAUGUUUUCACUGACUACCUGUCUUGUAUGCAUACCAGCCCAGCCUCUGGCUUUUUUACUUUUCAUUCCAUCCAGGAAGAACACACACCAACUGCAGAAGCUUCCUUAGCCUGACGAAGGGUUUUUGAACCCUAAAACUUGCUUAAAAAUUGUUUUCCAACUAUUUAAGUUGGUCUAAUAAAAGAUAUCAGAUUCACCCAAAGAACCUUGUCAAGCUAAACAUAAGGGAUUUUGAUACUAUUGUAAAAAAGUCCAGCACCAUCCCAAGAAAUAUUAACAAGAGUAUCAUAAGGAAGCCACAUGAAAUAAUCCUUCUAUUCUACUCAGCAAUGGAAAGGCCUUUGCCAGAGGACUGUAUCUUGUUUCAGGCACCAAGAAAGAUGUAGACCAAUGGAAGAGUCUAGGAGAUCAACAAAAAUGAUCAGGGGCCUAGAAAACAUGAAAAGAAAUUGAAAGAAUUUGAUUUGUUAAUAAUUUAACAAAGAAGGCUGAGGGAGACAUGAUAGGAUCUUCAAAAUUUAUUUUAAAAGAAGUUACUUUAGAUAAGAAGGUUUUGUUUGGAGUAAACAGAAAACAGGUGAGGUAGAUUAGCUUUCGAUAAUUUGCCAAAUGUUCAUCCAGUGUAAGAUUAAGAAUAUCACUCAUCUUUUAAGGACAGAUUACUAAAGCAGGAGCUUUUGAAUCAGUAGUAGCAGUUGCCCACAGAAUGAGACUGGGCUUUUAAAUGAACAAUUUUCUCUUCAGAGGGGUGUGUUUUGUUUGAGAACACAUUCUAUAUAUGGUUCUAAUACUUGGUGAGAGAGGCAAUGUAGAUUUAAGUCCUGAUAUUUCUCCUGAACCUGGGCAACAGCUAGAUGUUUUUAUUUAAUCAUAUAUUCUUUAUUGUGCUGAAUAUUUUAAGUUUGGCAAAAGUAUGUUAUUUGCUAGUCUGCAGGCAUGUUUAUACUGCUAUAAACUUACCAGCCCAGAGUGCUGAAACAGGAUGUGCUGCUCUAGGCAUGCCAACUCUCAAACCUGAAAUCAUUUUAAGAGCAGUACUAAGUUGUGUUGAUAGGGAGUGUUAAUUAGCUUUGGAGACUACACUACUGGUUCAGGAUGUAAAUGCAUGCACAGCAUGUUCCAGCACAACCCUGCCUGGUGUGGUUAGCUAAUGGUAUAGACAUGCCCUGCAUAGUUACAUUUUUGUUUCCUCUUUUGUUUUUAAUAGAAAAUAUUGUUUUUAAUAGCCAAGAGAUUCCACAAGGUACUUGGUUUGCCUUGUCCUCUCUUUUUUGGCAGGAAAGUUGUAAAUAGACUGAAAGAGAUUUCAUUUGAGUAAGGGUUAUUCUUUUCACCCAACUUCUUUUUUUUUUUGUGGUCACAAAUUCACUUUCCCAAACCCAAUUUCCCCUUAGCUUCAUAAGGAAAGAGAGCUCACACAGAACUAGUGUGAGGUGCCUAUCACUCUACUCCACUCCCUUCUGUACUGUAACUACAGCUGAACCACUCAAGGCAGUUCACCUGAAGAGAGACAAGAAGAUAUACCCCUAAGGCUUUUUGAACAAUGUAUCAUUUUAAAAAUUCUGCCCUGCAUUUUUAAGGGAAUGAAACAAUAAACUGUGCGCGCCGGGUCUGACCCCGGGUUGCUUUCGUCGCUCUGCACGCGGGCUGUGGCCAGCAGCCCGGGCAGGCCGGGUUGGAGAGGGAGGUCGCCGAGCUAGAAUUAGGCACAGACACGUAACGGUUGAUUUUAAGAUUAUUUUACUUACACCGAGAUGGUUGUGGUGUAGGCUGAGAACUUGCUUGAGUUGCGGUUACAACAAAAAACAUGAACACACGUGGAGGUUGCAAGGCUCCACGCAGACAGAACACGAACAAUCAUGUGGAGGUUGCUAGGCUCCACGCAGACAAACUCCGGAUGUCCAGGACAAGCGCGCAUUAAACUCGUCGUUACGUCUUAUAGUAGGCUCCGUUCGAAGAUGGGAAGAGGUGGGCGGUGGAUCAGGCCGCCAAACCCCUCUGAGCGACACACAGGGUUUCUAUUACCCUGCUGCGCACACCCAGAGUCCCCACGAGAUGGAUGCGGAGUCCUCUUCGGCUUGGGCAGAAACUGCUCAAGCCUCUUAUACGGCUAGUAGGCCAAUCGCUAGCCGCCACGUGUGAAUAAUUUAGAACUAGCCAAUUGCGGGGCGCAAAUUUGCAUAUGACGAGCGAGAAACCUUUGCACCGUGCAUUUCUGUGUUGCAAAGGAAAUGCACCCUGCAAAGAUCGCUGCAAAGUGGCAGGAACACUUCCCCUUCCCUGCACGCGGGUUCUCUGCGCAGCAGAACUCCACCGUGCAACGAAGCUGUAUACCCACGGGGAUAAUUCUUAGUGCCGAAGCACACACAAAAAAAAAAAAAAAUCAGACCUCUGGGUCAUGACAUCCCCCCCCUUGCUGAAGGCACAAUAGAAUUAUACUUCAAACCUAUCAUCCGGGUUAUUCAUAGCUCUGUCAAUGGUUCGCGAAACUAAACGAGCAAAAACAAAAUCAGUCAACAAUAAAAGUUCGUCCUCAAGGGAUCGAAUCAAAUAAUAGCUGGCACACACACAUAUACAUAAAAUCACAUUCAUAACAAAAAACUGAACGAUCACGACUUCGGUGGGCGUCAUGGUGGAAUCGCGCGUCAGGCCUUCGUUCCUUUCAGUGAUGUUGUCCCUCUUGGGCCUCUCUCCACCACGCACUCCGAAUCUCAGAUCUGUAAAAGACCUCUCUUUAAAUGGUUAUUCAAUACUAUCUACAAAAAUCACACAGGACCGCACGAUAAUGCAGUCGAUUAAACUUAUCAGUACUAUUAAAUACAAAUAUAUAAACACGAUUUUAUACUGGACAGCUCUCUUUCUUUUCCGACUCAGCAACUCGAUGAAAUCGUCGAUGAGUCAUCGUCGGCUUCUUCUAGAUAGUGAAAACCCAACUCGUAAGCCAGCUGCCAUUGUCCCGCGUCUCCUAAAAUCCGAAGCUGUCUCUCAUUAAGUCCAGAAAGCUGCAGGAGGUAUCCAAACAUGUAUCGCUCCUCUUGCGUUCUCUGGCGUAAUACUGGAUGCUCGGAUUCGCGGUGUUUCGUGUUCUGAGCCUCAGUCGGGCGUUGAUACUCCCGAUCACUGGAUAGUCUUGGCUCCAUGAGGACGCGCAGUCUUGACAACUGAUGAAGGAGACUACUCACAGGAUGAUCGACCAGUGGGUUCAGCACAAUUCACAAAACCACGAUGUUUCUUUGCCCGUAAACCUUAAGGCAACUAUCUAUGCUGUCGAGAGUCACUGGAACGGUUCUAGGGUCUCGCAGGUGACGGUGAGGCCACGGUUGCAUUCGUUGGAGCGGCGUUAGUCCCAACGUGCAUUCUCUUGGGUUCCAGGCGCAAUAUGAAACUCCAAUAAUAGCCAGUACAAGCUGUUCUGCACCGGUGUGCUCUGGUCGUCCGUCGUGCCAUGCGUGGGCCUUCUGUUCAAUCACUCCUGCCACAAGCGCUGGAAUCGGAAUAGGCCAAUGGACGCUAAACGCCACCAUGUCGAUGUUGGUGGCGUGUCCCCUACUCCAUGAAGCUUGUCUCACCAAGAAGCUUGCUUCUUCCUGGUCCAGGAGGUCGGACCCAAGUUCCACGACCAGACGUCCCAACCACACAGCCAGAGUUUCGUCGGAUCGGAUCCUGGAUUCUCUACACAAAUUCUGCAGUUCGGCUCUGGAACGAGCGUAAUAGGUGGUAGCUUGAACUGCAUUCUGCAGACCGAUGACUUGGCUGCUUGAUACUGUAGGCUGAUCAAUUUCUUCAUGAGUUGUCUUUGCUGUUGCUGUUUCUGUCGGAGCUGCAGUCAUUGUUACAGUGGGAGUCGUUGCUGUCUCAGGCGGGAGGGGCGGAUGCACUCCUCCGCUUGACUCCCCCUCCCUUCAGCAGAGGGGCGUGGUCGGCGGAACCGACGCUGCGUCGCUGGGCGGAGUUACCGGCCGAACCCUCGCGGGCUCUCCCGAAGCUCCAUCCCUCACUUCCGGCUCCUCCACGCGGUCUUCCCUCUGCUCGGCGCCAUCUUGUUGGGACUUUUCAAGAUCUCUUUUCUCAGCCGCUUCUCCGACCGCUCGAACAGCCAUAUGCAGCUGGGUCUUUAAACUUAAAGUUUCACUCAUCAGAUCAGCCAUAGUUUGAAAAGUUGCAUUUAGUUUUCCCCUCUUGUCGCACCGUAGGACCACUCUCUCAUUUACAGCGCGGUCCUCCGUCUCCGGGUCUUCGUGGAGCUCGGACGGGUGAUCUCGACCCCUCAGUCUAGGCACCACCAUGCAAGGGGAAAACCAGCCGAUUGGCAUCGUCUCUCCCAUCUCUCGGGCACACCGUGAGCAACGGACACACUCCCGGGUGGGGGUCGGGCUUACUGCGCUCGCCGGGUCGACUUCGGCAAGGGUCACAGCAUCGAGGGGCCUAUACAGGACCCGCUCAUCGCCCAUGAUACACCCGAACGCCGCGGGGUGAAGAUAUAUCUCUUUCCCUUCCAGGUCUCCAACUUCUGGAGUUCCCUCUUCUCCCCUUAACGAAAGGUGUCCACGGACACAUCUCUUGCCCGUUCCGCCUGCCUGGUGGUACGCGAGGUGCACCUCCAGUUCUCCGACGCUUGCUACGCUGUGUCUCCCACUUCUCCAAGGGCAGUUCUCAACUAAUUCUAACUAGUGAGCCCUCUCCUGAGCUCAUCGGCAUGUGCCGCAGUGAUCCCGAUCCCAUCCUCGUCGCCAUGUGCGCGCCGGGUCUGACCCCGGGUCGCUUUCGUCGCUCUGCACGCGGGCUGUGGCCAGCAGCCCGGGCAGGCCGGGUCGGAGAGGGAGGUCGCCGAGCUAGAAUUAGGCACAGACACGUAACGGUUGAUUUUAAGAUUAUUUUACUUACACCGAGAUGGUCGUGGUGUAGGCUGAGAACUUGCUUGAGUUGUGGUUACAACAAAAAACACGAACACACGUGGAGGUUGCAAGGCUCCACGCAGACAGAACACGAACAAUCACGUGGAGGUUGCUAGGCUCCACGCAGACAAACUUCGGAUGUCCAGGACAAGCGCGCAUAAAACUCGUCGUUACGUCUUAUAGUAGGCUCCGUUCGAAGACGGGAAGAGGUGGGCGGUGGAUCAGGCCGCCAAACCCCUCUGAGCGACACACAGGGUUUCUAUUACCCUGCCACGCACACCCAGAGUCCCCACGAGAUGGAUGCGGAGUCCUCUUCGGCUUGGGUGGAAACUGCUCAAGCCUCUUAUACGGCUAGCAGGCCAAUCGCUAGCCGCCACGUGUGAAUAAUUUAGAACUAGCCAAUUGCGGGGCGCAAAUUUGCAUACGACGAGCGGGAAACCUUUGCACCGUGCAUUUCUGUGUUGCAAAGGAAAUGCACCCUGCAAACAUCGCUGCAAAGUGGCGGGAACACUUCCCUGCACGCGGGUUCUCUGUGCAGCAGAACUCCACCGUGCAACGAAGCUGUAUACCCACGGGGAUAAUUCUUAGUGCCGAAGCACACACAAAAAAAAAAAAUCAGACCUCUGGGUCAUGACAUAAACAAGUUCCCAAGAAAGAAUACUGAAUCAGUCAGAGGCUUCUAACAGACAAGACAUGCAUUGUUUAGGAGUGAAAUUCUUCCACUCCUAAGCUGCAAUAGAAAUUUAAAUGCGAGACACAGAAGACAAAUAGGACAAUUUAGUAACCAAGGGCACAAGCAAAAAACAGUAUUUAUUCUGGGUGAAAACACUGACCCCUGGUGUAACUUUAUAUUCCCUGAGCUACUAGAGUAUGAGCUCAAAGGCCAAAGGUGCUAUAAGACCUAGUUUGCUCAUUUUACUGUAAGAAGGGAUUAGUCACCAGUGGCUAUUGAUAGCACAACAGAAAAUGAACCUGCAGCUGUAUGUCUGGCCACAACAUCUCAGAAUUAAAACAUCCUAAAUCUGCUUCAGUAAGAAUUUUUGCUACAAGUUCAGACCCCAAAAUCUCACUGCGCUGCCCUCUGUUGUGAUUGCUCUUAGGUAUUAGGGGCAUAUCUAUACUGUGGUCAGUCUGCAUACUCAAGAUGAGCUAGCUAAAGUUAUCUACCAUGGGCUUUAGUGUAGCCUAGCACCCUACCCCAUCCCCAAAUAUGCACCCAGAGUUCCCAAGAGUUUGUACAAUCUGAACUGAAGUCUGUGCUGCCCCUGGUCUUCACUACUCCAACUAGUGGUUAGCUAAAGUUAACUCAGAUAUGCCAACAUGUGGUACAAUUAAUUACACCUCUUACUGCAAUAUAGGUAUAUUAGUUUCUAGCAGAACUGUCAAGCUGAGAAGCAGGGAUCUGAGCAUGAAUGAUGGUCCUAGAUGACAUGUGUGAUAUGUACCAUCAUCCUGAUACUGACUCACGACAGAUUGUGAUAUCUCAUCACAUUUUCUCAGAACAGAGUCAUAAUAGUGACCACUGAGAGAAUGAGCAGCAUAUGCUAAAUGCAGAGAUCUAAAAGGGCUGGGAAAAGAGUAAGAAAUCUUGCAAAUGACACUGGGACCUGCCUGGUGCAACUGAUGGGCUGAACUAGACCCACUGUGUUGGACUUAUUUCUUUGACACAACACCCUUCUUUGACUGUAAAUUUGUUAUUCGGUAGUUACCUGGGUAUAAAACCUCACAUUAUAGAGCAUCAGUUCUGUUGUGGAUAAGGGGGUCUUGCUUGCUAUGUGUGUAUGGGGUUUACCACCUUUUAUGUCACUAUGUAAUGCAAUGUGCUGUUAAAACAAUGCGAUUUUGAAAUAAUAACAUGAUGUUUUGUCAGCCUAAUGUUUAAACGGAAGCAAAAUGUUUCUACAAUCAUUGCCUAUAGCAGGCCUUCUCACCCUAGUAAAAUCAGUAAGUCCCUGCAGAAUUCAGGAUGAACAGCAAGUGGCAACUUCAGUCAAGGACAUAUAGUGGAAAAUGUCUAUUUAUAGUUAGAAUACAGAAUUGUAAUACCCAAGGCUCAUUGCUUAUUUUUAGCAGUAUAUUCAGCCACAACUGGUAGGGACCAGUGCAAAAUUGAGAGGGGGUGUUUGAAGAAAAAAAAAAAAAGAGUCACAUGAAUAUGAACUAACCCACUGACUAGAAAAACUUAGAGCAAGUUACUUGUCCUUUUCAGGCCUAACCCUAAAGUGCUAUUAAAGCCAUUUAAUUCAUUAAACUAUUUAAUUUAUUAA